GAUGAACGCUGGCGGCGUGCUUAACACAUGCAAGUCGAACGAGCUUUAUUACUACGAUCCCUUCGGGGUGACGGUUUUAAAGCGAGUGGCGGACGGGUGAGUAACGCGUGGAUAACCUGCCAUAUACUGGGGGAUAACAGCUGGAAACAGCUGCUAAUACCGCAUAAAACUGUAGAGUCGCAUGACUUUAUAGCCAAAGCUCCGGCGGUGUAUGAUGGAUCCGCGUCUGAUUAGGCAGUUGGCGGGGUAACGGCCCACCAAACCGACGAUCAGUAGCCGACCUGAGAGGGUGACCGGCCACAUUGGGACUGAGACACGGUCCAGACUCCUACGGGAGGCAGCAGUGGGGAAUCUUCCGCAAUGGGCGAAAGCCUGACGGAGCAACGCCGCGUGAGUGAAGAAGGUCUUCGGAUCGUAAAGCUCUGUUGUCGGGGACGAAUGUUGAGACCUAGAACAUAGGUUUCAAAUGACGGUACCUGACGAGGAAGCCACGGCUAACUACGUGCC
RNAcentral lists this ribosomal RNA (507 nucleotides) under uncultured bacterium. RNAcentral's name for it is "bacterial SSU rRNA". It matches the Rfam family "Bacterial small subunit ribosomal RNA", at positions 28 to 509 of the family's 1533-position model. The record is from RNAcentral.